This is a non-coding RNA of Zootoca vivipara (common lizard), 2925 nucleotides long. Lineage: Eukaryota; Metazoa; Chordata; Lepidosauria; Squamata; Lacertidae. The record is from RefSeq and is a predicted model, not a curated record.
AAAUGGCCUUUGGGAAAUGAGAGAGAGGUGGGGGGUUAAAAAAAUUGAUUUUUGUUUGGAGGUUCUAGCAGGGGAGCUCAGGUAUCAUAUACCCUUGACCGAAGAACGGUACACUCCUUCUAUCUGGGAUGGUCGUCCUCUUCCACCGAGCGCGCAGCUUCGGGAGGGACGCACAUGGAGCGGUUUCUUAUUUUUUCUUUUUUGCCUUUUUUUCUUUUUCUUAUAUUACAUGCUUUUUAUAUCUAUUUGUAUUUGUUAUAAAACCAAUAAAAUAUACUUUUUUAAAAAAUUGAUUUUUAAGGGGGGCAAUUUGGAAGUUUGUUUAUACCAAGUUAAUGGCAUUUUAGGCUUCCUCCACAUGAAUAGGAACCUGUCUUCAAGGACAGUCCCAUGUAGAGUGUAUUCCAGUAGUCCAAGCAGGAAGACAGCAUGAACAACUGAGGUCGGGCAACCUGGUCCAGAAAUGGCUGUGGUUGGUGAACUAGCCUAUUUUAUAAUCAUAAUCAUAAUAUAUUCAAAAGCUCCAAUAUAGCUUUGUCCACUGCCAUAAUUAUCACAGAAUGAUCACCCCAAUCCUCAAUCCCAUUUCACUGCCAUGUUGGCUCGCUGAAUAUCCUCAAUAGGAACCCAACUGGCGUAAGUUGGCCAUGAAGCACUCCUAGCUACAGAAAAGUGAAAAUUUUGAAUCCAGGUGUGCUCCUAAAUUAUGAGCUGGAUUCUUCGAGCGGAGCAUAACCUCUCUCAGAGUAGGAUGUGCACCUAAAUUCUCAGACACAUGAACCACCCAGUCGCAACACUUCUGCCCUAUCUGGGUUCAGUGUCCGUUUAUUGAGCCCUCAAUUCAUUCCAUCACUGCCCCAAGGCACUUGUUCAACACCUUCACAGCCUCUUCUGUUUCCAGUGGAAUGGAGAGUUGGCAUUGCGUAUCGACAGCAUACUGAUGACACCAUGCUUCAAAUCCCCAGAUGGCAGCUCCCAACAGUUUAAUAGGAAACAGAGCGGACCUUUUUGGGACCCCACAGCCCAAAAGCCGCGAGCCAAGCAACGACCCCCUGGGAGUGACGAUGCAGAGAUCAUCAAUCAGGGAGACCAAGGCCACUACUGGGCCUGAAACCAGGCUGGAAGAGACCUAGAUCCCUCUCCAAGCAUACCUGCAACUGACUUUCUACAACCUUGUCCAUGAAAACAAUAUUAGAGACUGGAUGGUAGUUUCCCAGAAUCUCUAGAUCCAGAGAGGACCUCUUUGAGAGGGAGUAUACCACUGCCUCCUCCAAGGUGUUGGGCAUAAUGCCCUCCUGCAGUUGUGGAGAGUUUUUACCAUUGUACCUCUUUGUGACUGAAUAUUCUGUCGUCUUGUUGCAAGUUCCUUGGACUCUCUUCUGGGCUCCCUUGUGUUUGCUAGUUGUUGUAAGCCAGGAUUAGUGAGAUGCUACGUAUAUGUGAGCGUUCUCAAAAAUCUGAAAGCACUUUGAAAGCUGCCUGUGACAUGCUCUAUGGGGGCACUGUGGCCCCUUCUCAAUCUUACAAGCUUCAAAUUCAAUCAUCCUUAAAGAGAUCCAGAAAAUUCAAGCGCCUAACCAGCAUCUAGAUGUUCUAGAUGUCAAGGUCCGCUCCCAAACUAAGCAUUUGAAAUUCCUGGGAAGAUAAAUAACACAGCCUCAAGUUUAAUUGCUGAGAUUGGCAGCGGAAACCAAGCUCUCUGUCAGGUGUCGUCACUUUGCCGUUUUGCUUUCUUCUUCACGUUACAGAAGCUGACACAGCCUGAUCUUGUACCGUAGCUCCAGAUCUAAGUCUUGCAGCUGUUUCAGGAACCCUCGGUUCGGGGAGAUGGCUCGAUUCUGCAGGACCUUUCCGACGGCGUCAGCCAGAGAGAAGUUCUGACAGAUCAUGAGAAACUUCUCCAUUGCUCCAUCCCGAGGCACUCACCGUUUGGUACACUUAGGGCUUUGGUGAUGAAUUCGGAGGCAGGGCGGAAAUGUACGCCGAGGUCAAAGUCUGGGGAGUCUUCUGCUGCUAUUCCGUAGUAAUGGAACUCUGUUCCAUAGAACGCUUGGCUACCUUUGCUUCCCCAGGCAGCAUGUGCUGCAUUCAAUAUCUGUCCAUCACAUGCUCCAACUCUUUGACGGAGGGUGCGGCGGAUCUGCGGCUGAUCAUUUUGCAAAAGGAGGCGGUCGUCUUUGGAAAUGGGUCGUCCGCUGCCAUGCGAUGAUACACAGUCGUUGCAGAGCCCCAAUGAGCUCCAGUUACCUUUCGACAUUUGACAGGGAGAAGCAGUUGCUUCAGAAACCCUUGGUUGGGGAAAAUCCACCGACGUUCUUUCACUGCCUGAAUGGCUUUAACCAAAGAGAAGCAAUGGUAAAUUAUGAGAUACGCCAGCACCAGCGAAGACGACCGGCUUAUCCCCACUGCGCAGUGCACUAAGAUUUUGCCUGAAAAUGAAGUAGACCACAUUUUUUUUAUCAUCUUAAAAGAUGGCAUUUUUAAACUAGAGAGAAGACAGAAUUCAACUAUUUCUGAAACAGGUACAUUUAACUUUCUGCAGUUACAGUAAUACUGGAUAAAUUUAGUCAAUUCUGAUAUUAUCUUCAUUCGUGCCUAAAUGUGGGGCCCUACAGUACAUCGUUUGUGUCAAGUUAAUGGAAAUCUUCUUGGGCUUACUUCACAGUUUAGCUAAAAUCAAUGUUUGGCAGAAAUUAAUAAUUGUUCAGAUUUUCAGUAUAUAUGCGUGUGUGUGGUGAUCUUUUUCUUUAAAAAUGUUUGGGGGUACUCUCAUUUUGACUCAAGAAAAAUCACCAUUUUAUAGUUCAAACUAGCUGGCCCGACCACACAUUGCUGUGGCUCAUUCCUGUGACUCCCCCCACUCUGUCCUGACCCAUGACCUAUUCUGCCCCUCCUCCUCUCACCCCCAGUUCAUCGCUGUGACUG